This 151-nucleotide microRNA precursor is filed under the name Triticum aestivum (bread wheat). Its description in RNAcentral is "miR10521 stem-loop (tae-MIR10521)". Lineage: Eukaryota; Viridiplantae; Streptophyta; Magnoliopsida; Poales; Poaceae. The record is from miRBase by way of RNAcentral.
ACAUAUAUCCAGAUUCAUAGUACUAGAAUAUGUCAUAUCUAGUCCUAGAUUCGUUUUUUAUAGGAUGGAAGGAAUAUUGUUUUCUUGAAGAAACGUGUACUCUCUCCGUCCUAUAAAAACCAACAUAGUACCGGAUGUGACACAUUCUAUU